This 63-nucleotide transfer RNA is filed under the name Yunnantettix bannaensis. RNAcentral describes it as "tRNA-Phe". The record is from RNAcentral. Lineage: Eukaryota; Metazoa; Arthropoda; Insecta; Orthoptera; Tetrigidae.
AUUUAAGUAGUUUAUUGAACAUUGUACUGAAGAUGCAAAAGAGAAUUUUUGAUUUCUUAAAUA